This 253-nucleotide ribosomal RNA is filed under the name uncultured bacterium. Its description in RNAcentral is "partial 16S ribosomal RNA". It matches the Rfam family "Bacterial small subunit ribosomal RNA", at positions 524 to 776 of the family's 1533-position model. The record is from RNAcentral.
CACGUAGGAGGCGAGCGUUGUCCGGAAUCAUUGGGCGUAAAGAGCGCGCAGGCGGCUUGGCAAGUCGGGUGUGAAAUCCCGGGGCUCAACCCCGGGUCUGCCAUGCCGACUGUCAGGCUAGAGUACUGUAGGGGCAGGCGGAAUUCCGGGUGUAGCGGUGGAAUGCGUAGAGAUCCGGAGGAAGACCGGUGGCGAAGGCGGCCUGCUGGGCAGUUACUGACACUGAUGCGCGACAGCGUGGGGAGCAAACAGG